GGAGGGAUCGCAUAGUGGUCUAGUGCGGGCGCCUGCUAAGCGCUUAGACCGGGUUGACCGGUCUCGCGGGUUCGAAUCCCGCUCCCUCCGCCA
This 93-nucleotide transfer RNA is filed under the name Dehalococcoidia bacterium. Its description in RNAcentral is "tRNA-Ser". It matches the Rfam family "tRNA". Rfam says of the family: Transfer RNA (tRNA) molecules are approximately 80 nucleotides in length. Their secondary structure includes four short double-helical elements and three loops (D, anti-codon, and T loops). The record is from RNAcentral. Lineage: Bacteria; Bacillati; Chloroflexota; Dehalococcoidia.